GUUGAUAUAUAUGCCCUUAUUGUUAUGCAAUCUACGCCCAACGGCCAAUUAAGUCCUGAUCAACAAGCUUUUGAUCUUCAGGAGUGGCCUCAGCACCGCGAUCAAGUGGGGCUAUGGCUUCGAGAAGCUCCUGCUUAAGGCUCUCAAUGUCUUCACUUUUGGUAAACAAAAACGGAAAUAAGGAAACCCUUGCCCUCAAUUUCAAAGAUUCCGGUACAUAAUUGACGGCCGUAAAAUGAUGGAAAAAUGAUCUCCUUCUUGAACAAGAAAGUAGUAGUUUCGGAUUUGCUGGGAAAGAAGAAUUAAUAAAGGGGGAGAUUGGGUGAAG
RNAcentral lists this unclassified non-coding RNA (328 nucleotides) under Hevea brasiliensis (rubber tree). Lineage: Eukaryota; Viridiplantae; Streptophyta; Magnoliopsida; Malpighiales; Euphorbiaceae. The record is from RNAcentral.